Molecule: long non-coding RNA, 1516 nt
Filed under: Prunus dulcis (almond)
Lineage: Eukaryota; Viridiplantae; Streptophyta; Magnoliopsida; Rosales; Rosaceae
Description: sRNA ncRNA
Source: RNAcentral
AUGGAAAACUCAUUUUUGGAGCGGUUCUGUGGAUUAUUGUUAGGAGCCUCUUCUAUCAUUUUUGCUGUACUAGCCAUUAUCAUAAUCGUAAACACCAUCCUCUGUCUCUGUCUCUCUGUCUCUCUGUCUCUCUCUCUCUCUCUCUCUCUGUGGCUUGUACGGUUGGAGAUGUGAAGUGGCUCGUAGUGAUAAUCCAGUGGUUAACCGUCAAUGACCAGAUAUAGCUAUGAGAUCUGAAGGCUUGCCCAGGGACAUUUGUUCCUUUUAAGAUAUGGUUAUUGAAUCUUAAAUCAUUUUUGUUCCUCAGUUAUUCUAUGGUUGUAUUUUCUUGGUUUCCACAUUUUUUACACUCCUCCUUUAUUAUGUCCUUUAUUUACCAUUGCAUCAAAGUUGCGACUGCGUUUUGUUGUAGUAGUGAUGCUGUGUUAACGAUCAGAUCUACUCUUUUGUCUAUUCUGUGUCUCCAUGAUAUAACUGUAGAUGCCCACUCGUUUUUGUUUUUUUAAACUGUGUAUUUUCUAGUGUGGCUAUUUUACUGCCUCAGGACGAUGGUUCAAUUUUUAUUAGCCUAAUGAUGGAAAACUCAUUUUUUGAGCGGUUCUGUGGAUUACUGUUUGGAGCCUUUUCUAUCAUUUUUGCUGUACUAGCCAUUAUCAUCAUCAUAAACACCAUCCUCUAUCUAUCUAUCCAUCUCUCUCUCUCUCUCUCUCUCCCCCCCCCCCCUCCCCCCCCCCCCCUCUCUCGGGCUUGUAGUGUUGAAGAUGUGAAGAGGCUCAUAGUGAUAAUCCAGUGGUUAAUUGUCAAUGACCAGACAUAGCUAUGAGAUUUGAAGGCUUGUCCGGAAACAUUUGUUUCUUUUAAGAUAUGUUUAUUGAAUCUUAAAUCAUUUUUGUUCCUUAGUUAUUCUAUGGUUGUAUUUUCUUGGUUUCCACAUAUUUAUUAUGCUCCUCCUUUAUCAUGUCCUUUAUUUACCAUUGCAUCAAAGUUGCGACUGCAUUUCGUUGUAGUAGUGAUGCUGUGUUGACGAUCAGAUCUACUCUUUUGUCUAUUCUGUGCGUCUGCAUGAUAUAACUGCAUAUGCCCACUCGUUUUUGUUUUUUGUUUUUAACCGUGUUUUCUAGUGUAUCUAUUUUGCUGUCUCGGGAAGAUGGUUCAAUGUUUAUUAGCCUAAUGAUGGAAAACUCAUUUUUGGAGCGGUUUUGUGGAUUAUUGUUAGGAGCCUUUUCUAUCAUUUUUGCUGUACUAGCCAUUAUCAUCAUCGUAAACACCAUCCUCUCUCUCUGUCUCUCUGUCUCUCUGUCUCUCUCUCUCUCUGUCUCUGUCUCUCUCUCUCUCUCUCUCUCUCUCUCUGUCUCUCUGUGUGGCUUGUACGGUUGGAGAUGUGAAGUGGCUCGUAGUGAUAAUCCAGUGGUUAACCAUCAAUGACCAGAUAUAGCUAUGAGAUCUGAAGGCUUGCCCAGAGACAUUUGUUCCUUUUAAGAUAUGGUUAUUGAAUCUUAAAUCAUUUUUGUUCCUC